GAUGAAGAACGCAGCGAAAUGCGAUAAGUAAUGUGAAUUGCAGAAUUCAGUGAAUCAUCGAAUCUUUGAACGCACAUUGCGCCCGCCAGUAUUCUGGCGGGCAUGCCUGUUCGAGCGUCAUUUCAACCAUCAAGCCCCAGGCUUGUGUUGGGGACCUGCGGCUGCCGCAGGCCCUGAAAACCAGUGGCGGGCUCGCUGUCACACCGGGCGUAGUAGAUUUUAUCUCGCUCAGGGCGUGCUGUGGGUUCCGGCCGUUAAAAAGCCUUUUUUACCCAAGGUUGACCUCGGAUCAGGUAGGAAGACCCGCUGAACUUAAGCAUAUCAAUAAGCGGAGGA
This 336-nucleotide unclassified non-coding RNA is filed under the name soil metagenome. Its description in RNAcentral is "partial contains 5.8S ribosomal RNA, internal transcribed spacer 2, and large subunit ribosomal RNA". The stretch from base 1 to 120 matches the Rfam family "5.8S ribosomal RNA", at positions 35 to 154 of the family's 154-position model. The record is from RNAcentral.